This 9613-nucleotide long non-coding RNA is filed under the name Daucus carota (carrot). Its description in RNAcentral is "long non-coding RNA (DCAR_LNC004435)". The record is from RNAcentral. Lineage: Eukaryota; Viridiplantae; Streptophyta; Magnoliopsida; Apiales; Apiaceae.
AGCACAGCGCCGGCGAGGGUGAAGAACGUGUUCAAGCCGAGGAUUCAGGUGGAGGAUUUUCACAGCGAUUGCGAUUCGUCCUCUUCCGUGGUGGAUGACCGUGACACGACGUCGUUUCACAAGCCGUUCUCUUUUGAUCUCAAUUUACCUCCGCCGUUGGAUGAUGAUAUGGAUAUCGAAAAUCCCGAUGAUUUACAAGCUACUGCUCUGUGUCUCUGAUUAAAGUAAGAAGACAAAGAUGACGAUGACAAAAACAUCUAAUGGUUAUAUUUCCUUCUUUUUAAUGAGAGAAACUUGUUUUUAUUUGCUCCUUUUUCAAAACUUCUUAAUGAAUUAGUGGAUUUGAUGAAAUAGGGUUUGCUUCAACUCUACUAUUUAUGUUGGAGUUUGGACUGUAGAGUUACAUGGCGCACCCACUCAUUUGUAUGUGUAUUACAGAAGAAAACAUAUGAGAUCUGAUCUUGAGUUUUGUAUAUCUCGAUCUCAUUUCUAUCAACCAUGCUCGUUGCUUGUUUUCUUUCCUUCACCCUCCCAUGUAUAAAGUUUUUAAAAAGAUUUACACUUGUUUAUGGAAUUUUUUGUUGGUUAUUGUGUUGAGCUGUCUUCUAUCUGUUUUUUCAUGUCAAUAUGUUAAACAUCGGUAGGUGUUAUUGUAUUGAUGAUUUUUGGUUUGAUCAGUAUGGUGUCUGUUCAGUUAGAUUGCAAACUAGAAAUUGGUAUUCAACAGUUGGAUUUAGUGUGAUUAGUCUAGGUUUUAUCUUUUUAACUAUAGGUAUUCUUUCAGGAGCAGUAUGGGCUAAUGAAGCAUGGGGGUCAUAUUGGAAUUGGUACCCAAAGAUUAUUACUUAUAAACUUGUUAAUUCUGGGUUGCAAUAGUGAUUUUUACUAAUAUAAGUAGCAAUCUGUGAUGGUGCUUUGUGUUCUUGUGACUGUUAAUUUGUACUAACGUGACUCAGAAUGUGUAGGUUGUAACAGAUGUUUAAUGGUGCUUUGUAUCAAUGUGAUGAUUUGCGGGUACAUACUAUUGAUUAGUAGUAAACGAUGAUGGAAAGUGUAUCAAAUUGCCUGGAUGUUGAGAAUUGGCAUAAGUGGAAAAUGUGUAUCAAAUUGCUCAGGCCCUUGAGAUUUGGCUUUGGUUUAUUAUGAGAAACAGCUAUUGGCUAUUGCAUAUGUGAUUGUGGAGUAAUACAUGUCCCAUUAUAUUUUGAUGAAGAGAUAUGCCAAACGAAACAAGUGGCAUGUAAACACAUAUCAUGGAUUAUAGGUGUAGAUACACCACCAUACCCCUGCCGGUCAGAGCUAUGUACACACUUUAUUAUCUCUUUAUACAACUUGCAUGCAGAAGAUAAAAUCUUGGGCAAGUUAACAUGUGUAAGUGAAGGUCUUAACUUAAACACAAUUGGGGUUGGCUAAAAUAGUUUAUGUGCACAUUAGAUUAGUUUAAAUGCUGUCUAUGUAUAUGAUUUGUGUUGUACUUGAUGCUUUUACAAGUUCUCCAGAGAUACAGGUGUGUAUUUGAUGAAGUUGGAGUCCAACUCUUUAAAUCUGUGUCACACUUGGUCUUUGAUUGAGUUGUUCAACAGUCUAAAGACAAAAUUUGAUAAACAAAGAAAAAGUAAGGACAUGAUAAUAUUUUUGAAACAAGAGGUCAGGUGAAUAAUGUUUGCGGCAAAAAUGACCUUUUCUUUAAUGGAAGUUUCAACUUCACCACAAGUAUUCUGAUCACCUGUAAGCUGGAACUGAUCACUGAUCAGUAUUUAGUCUUCACCGAUAAAGUGUGUGGUUUAGUUCCAUUACCAGCUCAUCGUCCUCCUGUUCAAGUUCUAUUGUCAGGUCGUCUUCCCCUGGUUGACAAAUAUAGUUGUUCACCCGAAGAAUCUUGAGAGUGCUCCAAUUCAUUACUUGCAGUGCCUUGAUGUUUUUGAAAUUUGUCAGACUCUCCAUAUCUACUUUGGUCGUCGACCAGAGAUGUUCUUAUACAUUCCUCUGCUCUAAAGGAUAAGCUCAAUGUCCAAUUCGACGGUUUCGAUGUCGAAUGCAGGCCGCUAUAUCUCUUUUUAAGCAUGAUCAUAUUCGGCCUCAUGUCAUCUAGAGUACAAAUUGAGCAAUUGAUUUUGAAAUAUUAGUGCAAGUAAAAACAAAAACAGAGGGGAUGAAUACCCUCUUAAGCAAAUAUAAACAAAAAGUUCGUUUUAGGCUAUACACAACUUAACUGAUCAAAUUCUUCUUAUUCAGUAGUUGUUUGCCACAGUUGUAUGAUUAUAUACUCAUCAUUUCUUCAAAAACUUAUUACUUUUUCACCUUGUUAUAAUAAUUUUACUUAAAAAGAUAUGAGAAUUUUUGUAUUAAAAAUAUGUUCAGUUUGGUCCAAAAAUUAUACAUAUUAAUUAUCUUGACUUGUUAAUAUAAUUUAACUAUUUUUUUAGAGUUGUAAUAUAAUAAAGUCGUAAUAUAUUUGAUCUCAAAAUUCUCAAAAAUUAUGUAAUUUUAUUUUAAAAACAAAGAACCUUUAUAUUUAUAUAUAUUCUCGUUGAUCGCGUGUUUGAUCACGUAAUUUUAUGAGUAGAGACUCUUGAUUAAUAUUAUAAAAAGUUUGGAAUUAAAUUUAAUAUGCAUAAUUUAAAAAAAAAAUAUAACUAUUAUUAUUAAUUACUCAUGAAAAUACCUGAAAGUAAUUUUUAUUUUAAAUAGCACCCCAGGUAAAUUAAUCAUCGACUUUCCUAAAAAAAAAAAAUAUCAUCGACUUGUUGGGUCCAUAAGUUUUCAUUGUCGUUUGAAUCCCAUUGUGUGGUUCACCCUAAUUCAACUCUUGAUGAUAAUCAUAUUUCUCCUGAGUUUGAUAGUUGUUGCGAUUAUCAUGUAUCGUUUUAGGACCUCCUCGGGUUCUGCAAAACUGAAUUUGCCUCGUAUCAAAAAAAAAGCUUUGAAUUCAUGGACUGCUAUUCAGGACACUUAUUUCUCUACCAAGGUUUCUACACUCUCUUUAGUCUUGUCUUAAUGUGUUUAUGUUUGUGUACUUGUGAUGUUUAUUGUGUGUUUCGUGAUUAUAGGACACAUUUGAGAGGCACAAAGUGGUGUUUACUGUCUCCACUUCUGUUGCUACAGCUUGACUCGGUAAUUUCGAUUCACUUGUUCAUGUGCCAUGUUUAUUUUUACGUUGUCCACUAUACUUUUCUCCUACUCACAAGUUCGUAGAGAUUGUUAUCCCAUCUAGAAAUCAUCGUUAAAUGAAAUGUAAGUCGAUGUACUUCAAAAUAAACUUGGAAGAAUUAGAUAAAAGGUUAGUUAAAUUCGGAAUUAUAUGGUUGCAAAAUUCAACUAAGAUUGGAGUGGAAGUCCUGUUUUAGGACCAAAAAGGACAUUUAGCGCAAUAUUAUAGCAAUAGCUAUAGCUGUUUUGCAUAUAGCAAUUGACUUGCUCUUAGUGAUGAAAGUUUGUGAAACACAUUAGAGCCACUAUCAUCAUUUUGUUUAUAGAGUUUAAAAUUGUGUUUAAAAACAUGAAAUUCAUAUUAACAAUGGAUUUUAGAUGACAUGAAUUGGGUUGUAAUAUCAAUUCUCAAAUUUAUGCUAUUAUCUGAAUGUCUUAAAAUUAAAUCAAAUUCAAGUCAUGAUAUUUUUGAUUAUCCAAACAUGUCAUUUGGACCAAAUUCCUAAUUUUAAGUUCCCAAACCAUUAAGUUAUUUCACCAAUUUUAUCUACAAUAAACAAACAAUUAAGAAACUUAGCAACCGGAAUAGGGAGGUCGGCUUUGAGUUCUAUUGGACAUUUUUUCAUCUUUACAGCAAUAUCAGUGGCAUAAUUGUUGGGUACCCUUUUGAAAGUACAAAUUCCAUCGAAGUCAGUAGUUGUGAAACGCACCGUAGCCUACUGUCUUAAUAAAUUUUAAUUCCUGUUAAAAGGUGAGGAGUAGCCAGCGGACAUAGUGAAGCAAAAGCUGAAUUUUUCAGCUAUGUAAUCAAAGCUAUUGAGGACCAACAAGUGAAGAGGAUUAUAUGUACAAUUAUCACAGUAUUGUCCUAUAUUAUGGCUUUGAUUGCGGAGAGAUUGUAUUUUUGAAAUUCGUCAAUCAGUGUCCAAUGAUACACUGGGAAUAAUAAGUGAACUGAUUAAGCCAAGGAGUUAGUCAACCAAAUUACAACGGUUGUCAAAUUUAUUCAAAGAGAGUUUUCAAGUGUGACAAAAUUAACAAUUUAAUUUGAAAAUGCUGAGAACUAUACAUACAGAAAUAUUAAAUAGUGAAUGUCAAACCCUAGAAGUUUUCACUUGAUUUGUUCCCUAACCUCUAGUCUGAUGGUCCUAUUCUAUGUUCAUAUACAGAUAUGGUAUAUAUAUUUAAUAUUUAAUAAUAUCCAAUUGCAUAAAUACCUCCUUUAACUAGAUUGACUGGUCACACCCUUGAACCUUUGUUCACAUGAGCUCGUAGAAGACUAGGUGGUUUAAGAAAAUACUGUAGGACAAUGGUGGGAAGAGGUCAAAUCACCUUUCUUUGCUGAGAAUCGGCAAAACACAAGUAGAUUUUCAAAUUUAUUCAUAACACUCUAAGAUUAAUGUAUAUAGUUUCAACCCUCAACUUUAUCAAAUAAUGAAGGGUACAAUUUUUUAAAUUGAUACUCUCUCCGUUUCAAAUUAGAUGUCCACUUUAAAAAAAUCACACAGUUUAAGAAAAGUGGAUGUUCACAAAUUAAUUGCAUUAAAUGAUUAAAAUAUGACGAGUGAGAUUGAUCUAGGAAAUAUAAAUAAGAGAUAUGUGGAGUAGAAUUGAUCUUGGAAAUAUGAUUUUGCAUUGAAAGUUGAAGUGGACAAGUAAUUUGAAACAAAAUUUUUUCUUAAAAGUGGACAUGUAAAUUGAAACGGAGGGAGUAUCUUAUAACUUGGUGGUCAAAAAUCUCAUGUAAAUAUAUACUAAGCCUAAUUGAUAACACUGCCUAAUAACUGUCUACUUCCAAAUUUAACACAUUUAACAAUGGUACAAAUUAUCUUUUCUUAAUAUACUUAAACAGUUGCAACCACUUAAAUUUAUAAAUAAAUAUAAAAUAAUCAACAAUUAAUCAUUAAUUCCUUGCCCCCCAUUAUUCUCCUCGCCAGUGAAAAACACUUGUCCAUGAGUUCUAUAAAAAUUAAGGAUAAAAAACCAUGAUCAAAGCAGAAUAUUCCAAUUGCAAUUUGGAACUGUGUAGACAUGCUUAGGGUGCAGCACCUCAGUAAAGAAAUUCGAAAUCUUUUAAAACUUGACAGUUUUAUCAGAAUCAACAAAAUCAGCGUGAUCUUACAGUUUUAAAGAAUGUUGGAACUGCAGUAAAAUUGGACCAUGACGAGUUUUCUUUGUUUUUAUCUUUGUUAAUUUUAUUUUCCAAGAAAAAUUGGAGGUGCUUGAUCAGAUUAACUUUGUUGUUUCUGAUGCAAUAUUUGUCUUAAGGGCUCAAAAUUUUUCAUUGUGGCGAUGUUGUUACCGUGUCUGUAAGUAAUGCUUAUUACACUUGGAAUACAUUCCAAACAUGGACUUGCAUAGAAUUACAGUAUAUAGCUCAUCGCAGUUCGCUCUAUAAAUGCUUGCUUACUAAAAUUGCAAUGCCUUUCACGUGCUCAUUCUUUCUAUGAAUUAAAGUCUACAUUACUAUAAAUUUUACACGAGCUUUCUGUUUUUCUUUGGACAACGACUACAAGGGAUCAGUAUCUUAUGUUCUCAUUCUUUUGAAUUAUGACCAUUAUAUUCCUGCAUCAACUUGCUGAAGCAGAUGUAAGUUUACUGACCAGUAGGAGGAUAAUUGAGAAUUUAGUCAGAUAAGUUGUAAAUUUUGAGAAGAGUAUUUAUUUUAGGAUGAUGAGUGUUAUCGCCAAGUGGAGAUAUUUACAUAUUUACAAAUUACAACUUUAGAUAAGAUAGAUAUACCAGAAGCUCGAAACUAUCAUCUAAAAUCAUCUACGUUAAACGUUAGAGUUGUUGAACUUAAUAAGUCAAUGGCCGGGUUACCUGGACUGAUUUCGUAAACUUACGAAAGGAAGUGUACAACCAUUAGUUUCACGUCAUUAGGAUAGUGCAAUAUGCCAACAUCGAAUUAGGAAUAUGAAACUAAUAGUUGGUAUAUUUUUAUUGACUGUAGUUAGUUAAGCCACAUACAAAGUUUUGUUAAUUAUAGCUUGAGUACCUUGUUUUUAAGUGAACAUAAAGGAUGCUGCUGUUGUUAUUUAUGAGUUAUUCGUUCGUAGCAUUUUCUCCCUCUUAUCCCUGUAUUAGGAAUGUGAGCUAAAUUCUUCAAUUUUGUUACAAGACCUUACCAUCACAUAUCUACUUGUGUAGUAAUGCUUCUGAAUCUUGCCUUUUGAGAUUAAUGUCGUGUUUGGUAAAAUUGAAACAAACUGGGAGGGAAUGGAGUGAAAUUUAGAAUAUUUUAUGGGCGAAGUGGUGAACAUGAAUGAUUUUCAUUUUCUUUCUCUAUUUCAUUCCCCUAGAAUAUUUUAUGUUCAUUUAAUGCACACUAUUAGUAACUUCAAGUGACGGGAUGUGUGCACAUACUGUGACUUCAUGUCACUGAUGGUGUACACCUAUUUCGUUAUCCAACUGUGUACAUGUAACCGGCCCUUAUGUAAAUAUCUAUAUAAGUGUAUAUAGCUUCCUGUGACUGCUCCUGCCAUUGCACCACUUUUCUCUUGGAAUAUGAAAGCACGAGUAAAUAACAUGAGAUUAAACAUCAUCAAAACUAUUUAUCCAAAAUAUUUAACCAGAUCAUCACACCUUAACAAAUUAACCAGAAUAGAUGACGUGUCAUUAUAUCAGUUUGUCAUGCUUAAAUAAAUAUUUCUUGAUUGUUACAAAUAUAUUGGCCUGCUUCAUUAGACCAGAUAGUUUAACGGUCGAACUUUGAUUCACUCUACAGGAAAGUUUCACUGGAUCGACAGAAGUGAAGUGUUUAAUAAUGAAGAAUGCAACAAUGAGCAACUUGAAACAAGUCUCGCUUGAACUAGAUGAGCUAUUAUUAAAAUGGAUAUCCAGUUAUCCAUGAAAUCACCAUUUCAGUCAUAUCUACCCAUUUCAGUUAUAUCUAUCGAAAUUGAUGGAUCUCAUGUUUUUUGGCCUGUGACUGGAAUAUGCGCUGCAAGUGUGUUUAACAGGAAGAUGUAUGCAUAAAUAUGUAUGCAUAUAGGUAUACACAGAAAAAUCUAAUUUGAUGUCUACGUAUAUUCACUGCAUAUCAGUCACAAAAUACGUUUUCUGUUACGUCAAUUACUUAAAUUAACGGGAUUAUCAUUAUUCAUCGUUAUAGUGGUACAUUAGAGACUCCGAUAACUAUACAAAUGAUGUGAUACAUGAUCUCACUUCAAUAACUACUUUGAUAUUCAACUCAGUCCAAAUAUAAAACUUCAAGUCCUAAUGACAAGGAAAAAACUUUAUAUUAUUUCAGAAUAUUUAUCAAAAGCUUAUAUAAACAAAGCUCUUAGUUUUUCAUUUUUCAUUUUUUUGCUAAAGAGUUCUAUUUUCGAAAGUUUCACUUAUGUCCAUUAUAGAAUGCACCUCAUAUCAUAUUAAGUAUGACAUAUUUUUUUAGAAUAUAUACACUUUCAAGUUUGAAUCCACCAAAGUUCCUAAUUUCGACGGCAACAAUAAAAACACACAUAUAUGAAUAAUUACACCUUCAAUCUUUAUCUGUUUAAUGAUAAAGAUAAAGAUUAUAUACGAUUUAGAGACAUAAAACGUCAUCCCUUAAUAACGUUCGUCGAAAUCUCGAGAUUAGUACUUUCCUCUAAUUACUUCGCAAUAAUCUAUUUGGUUUUAUUUUUAUAAUAUGACAUCACAUGGGAAUAAAAACUCAAUAACAAAUAGAUUUAUUUUUGAUUGUAUACAUGUAUAAAUUAAUUUUGAAUUAAGAUAUGCAUUUUGAUUCAAUAUUUUGAAUUAAGGAUAUAUUUAUGAUCAUUACUACAUUCAUUUAUCGUAAAUGAACGGAAAGUAAUUAAAUAAUUAUUGUAGUAAAAGGUCAGAAUUAUAAAACUAUUUAUACAUAUUCUCAAUUGGUUGAAAUAUCUUCUGCAACCAUCAGUUACGUAUAUCUAUCGUUGCUGAUCACGUAUGUGAUAUAAAUGACGAAUGUCGAUAUGAAAGCUAAUGAUCUUAUUGGUUCUAUAUUUAAUAUUUUAUCAAUAGCGUAAAUAUUUAUUAAUGUUGAUGAUAUAUAAACUUAUAAAUAGUCAGUAUUAAAUUACUUUUUAUUGGUUGAAAAGUCAUAUAUUGCAUGUAAAUUUUCGUUAAUGUUCUUCUUUCAGAAUUUACAUGAUUGUCUUUUUUUUAUCAUAUAUUUUUUUAUAUAAUUAAAUAAAAUUAAUAUGGUGAAAAUCCAUUUAUAACUUUCUCAGUUUGUUUAAAAAUAUGGAAAACAAUAUUACUUUUAAAAAUCAUCAAUAAAAUAAAAAAUGAUUCUUCUAAAUAAAAACAGACAUUACUCAAACUUGUUAUUAUAUAAUCUUGAAAUACAUUUCAUUUGUUUAGAAUAAUUAUUCUAUUUUUCUCACUCAACAUGAGACUCAAAUAUAAAUUAUAUAAUAUAGUUUAACGCAUGUGUUGGAGCAAGUGUUACAGAAAUCUCGGCUGAGUUACCGAUUCAAGAUUAAUCAGAAAUCGGAACUAUUAAUCAGAGCGAGAAUCAGAUUUAUUUUAACAUUUAAAUAUUAAUUAAUAUUUAAUAUUAUUAUAUUAACUAUUUAAAACUCAAUCAAAUCAAAGAGAAUACAAUAAAGGCAGUUUCUCCAUUGCGAAGAGAGAGAUAAACAAAGAGUCAAAAAAAUAUCAAAUAAAAUUUCAAUAAAUGAGAGAAAAAUAAUUAAAUCAUCGAGAGAAAACAAGAAGCCUUUGAGAUUCAAUCAAGGAGAGUUGGUUGGCUUCUGAUUUAUAUAUACAAACUCAUACAAAUCAAUUCUACACCACCACUUUCCGAUCUCUCCGAUAUGCGACGCAACAACAGAUCCAAGCCGGCGACGGAGACGCCGAUCGCCGCUGCCGCCGCCGGUAACGAGCCGAGAUAUCGCGGCGUUCGCCGGCGUCCGUGGGGCCGAUUCGCUGCCGAGAUUCGCGAUCCGUGGAAGAAAACUCGUGUCUGGCUCGGUACGUUUGACUCGGCUGAGGACGCGGCUCGCGCCUACGACGCCGCCGCGAGAUCUCUCCGUGGACCGAAGGCGAAAACAAAUUUUCCGAUUUUUUCGGAAAAUCAAGCCGGCGGCGAUCGGAAUAAUCUCGGCCAGCCGAUUUAUGUGUACCGGCCGACGAGUAGUAGCCUGAGCAGCACGGUGGAGUCGUCGUGUGGUCCGACAGCGGCGGCUUCGAGCACAGCGCCGGCGAGGGUGAAGAACGUGUUCAAGCCGAGAAUUCAGGUGGAGGAUUUCCACAGCGAUUGCGAUUCGUCCUCUUCCGUGGUGGAUGACUGUGACACGACGUCGUUUCACAAGCCGUUCUCUUUUGAUCUCAAUUUACCUCCGCCGUUGGAUGAUGAUAUGGAUAUCGAAAAUCCCGAUGAUUUACAAGCCACUGCUCUGUGUCUCUGAUUAAAGCAAGAAGAUGACAAAAACACCUAAUGGUUAUAUUUCCCUUUUUUUUAAAUGAGAGAAACUUGUUUUUAUUUGCU